Ribosomal RNA from Danio rerio (zebrafish), 117 nucleotides. The record is from Ensembl. Lineage: Eukaryota; Metazoa; Chordata; Actinopteri; Cypriniformes; Danionidae.
AAAAACAGCCAUAUCACCUUGCAGCCCAACACCGGUUACUCACUGAAGCUAAGCAGGGCUGAGCCUGGUCAGUACCUCGAUGGGAGACCACAUGGAAAAACUAGCUUUCUGUUGGAA